UUCAUCUUCAUUCUCUCCGUCAAAGACCCGACGCUUGAGGCGACCAAGACGGCAUCGACGACUGUUCUGGUCUCUAACGGCAUUGGGUCUUCUGCAUCGGAGGAUCGGUCAUGAUGAAUCCACCGAAAACCAGCAGGUUUCUUCAAAACCCGAGAAGAGAUCGUUCGCUGUCGCAAGCGGUGAGAUGUUCAUCGGAAUUGCCUCGAGGCUUUUGAAGAGGUCCAAUCAACGGAUGUCUCCAAUUGAUGAUGAUGGAGACAGGAUAGGAUCAGUAAUCGAGGACGAGAUUGAGGCAGCGAUGAUUUGAGAAUAGAGGGUUAAAGAUGUAGAAGCGGAGAAAGAGAGGAGGGUCAUUACAAGCCCUGGGAAACUACUCAUUUGGCAGGAUCUUCUGCUGGUGCUAUUAUCUGUGCUACGAUAGCCUCAGGAGCCUCUAUGCGUGAAGCCCUUGAAGCUAACAAGACUCUUGUCUUACGGAAAUACAUGUUAACAAGCGAGAGAAGUUGAACCCCUGAAGCAUUAAAUCAACUUGCGGACAAACCUGAAUGUCGACUAACAAAAACUCAACAAAAGACAUGCUAGGUGGGUAGAAUUCAUUGAGACAUUUCCGUAUGUUAUUAAGUACAAGCAAGGUAAGGAUAAUAUAAUUGCUGAUGCAUUGUCUCGGAGGUAUGUGUUACUCUCAACUCUUGAUGCUAAACUUUUAGGUUUUGAACAGUUCAAACAAAUGUAUGCAUCUGAUUCUGAUUUCAAGGAGUUAUAUCAAUCUUUUGAAAAA
This is a long non-coding RNA of Eutrema salsugineum, 778 nucleotides long. RefSeq lists it as uncharacterized. The transcript is spliced from 4 exons. The record is from RefSeq and is a predicted model, not a curated record. Lineage: Eukaryota; Viridiplantae; Streptophyta; Magnoliopsida; Brassicales; Brassicaceae.